GUCCUGUCGGAAAAGAUCCGGAAGGGGUUCGGAGAACGGUUGACCCUUGUAGGAGGUCGGCCAAUAGUAGAAUCCAGAGAGCACUAGGAGCAGCCUGAUGGACAACCGAAGAAGCUUAUCGUCGGAGAAGCCCGAAAGAUGCGGCAGGAGUUCGUCCAUCGGCAGAACUUGAGAAUGUUGCGGAAGCUCGACCGUCGGAGAGGUUCGAAAAGAUGUCGCCCA
RNAcentral lists this long non-coding RNA (222 nucleotides) under Elaeis guineensis (African oil palm). RNAcentral describes it as "long non-coding RNA (EGUI_LNC024574)". The record is from RNAcentral. Lineage: Eukaryota; Viridiplantae; Streptophyta; Magnoliopsida; Arecales; Arecaceae.